UCUGUCCGGAAAUAUCCGAUGAUCCCUGAUGACUGCGAUUCCAAAUCCAAGUUUGUGUUGGAACAAACUGGAACAAUAUUUCCUCCAGGAUCAGUUCUAACAUGCAUUUAACGUUAACGUUUAAACUUUACGUGUCACCUGAGUCCGAGUAGGACGGAGGUGCAGAGAGCUGAGGAGUGUGUCCUACAGAAACCUCGUCGGCAAGUCUAAGAUACCGAGGCUCGUGCUCUUGGCUAAUACCGGGGAAGAUGUGAGUCGGCAUGUUUGGGCACACGGGACAGCAGGCACUUCCUGUUCCUCCAGACAGAUGGACAGGAAGUCCGUCUCCGCCACACGCUGAGUCCUUGUUGUCCCUUGUAGAGAAGCGAGGACGAUGCACACCCGAGCGACUCUCCUGGACCUCCACCAGUUCAGGCGUUAGUCAUCUUUAAUGAGCUGCACGUGUUGGUGUUGAUGACUCCGCCCUAAUGAGAGCGUGUGGUGAAGCGACGCUGAGCUGGUGUUUGAUUUAUUUCUGUGGAUAAAGGAUUUAAAGCAGAGCCGGGGACGUUACCGGGCAAAACAAAACACACACACACAUCCAUUUCCUUUAAGAUAGGAGACACGAGCUACGAGGCUAAUGUAGCUAACACGCACGGCGAGCUUAAAGCCUCCAGGGUUCCUUCGUUCUUUCUUUCUUUCUUUCUUUCUUUUGUUCUUUCUUUCUUUCUUUAUUUGGUUCUUCCUUUCUUUCUUUCUUUCAUUAUUUGGUUCUUUAUUUAUUUUGUUCUUUCAUUCUUUCAUUCUUUCGUUGGUUCUUUCUUUCUGUCUUUCUUUCUUUCUUUCUUUCUUUGGUUCUUUCUCUCUUUUGUUCUUUCAUUCUUUCUUUGGUUCUUUCUUUGGUUCUUUCUUUUGUUCUUUCAUUCUUUCUCUCUUUUGUUCUUUCAUUCUUUCUUUGGUUCCUUCUUUCUUUCUUUCUUUGGUUCUUUCUUUCUUUCUCUCUUUUGUUCUUUCUUUCUUUCUUUGGUUCUUUCUUUCUUUCUCUCUUUUGUUCUUUCUUUCUUUGGUUCUUCAUUCAUUCUUUCGUUCUCUCUUUCGUUCGUUCUUUCGUUCGUUCUUUCUUUCUUUCUUUCUUUCUUUCUAAUUCUGUGUGAAAGCUCUAGUGCUGAUGAAGUGCUGGAGGAGAAAAUGUAGCUCUGGCUUUAUAAGCUAUCUGUCCAUUUCCCCCGUUAACAGCAUCUUCUCAGAAUCCAGAGUCCGGCUUCUCCUGCCGUCCACCCCGAAUAGCCGAACUCUACAGCUCACUCAGGGACGCUACAGAGAAGGUUCCCUCUCCCCUCUAGGACACUCGUUCCCGGUCAGGCCUCGUGCGGGUUAACUCAUUUGUGUACAGUUUAGGGAAAUACACACAACUGUGUUCGUUACAAACCACCACAACCACCGCAAUGACCGUGAGAGUGUGCGGGAAUUGGUGAGAAUUCCUUCGGAAGUGGGCGGGAUUGGG
This is a long non-coding RNA of Ictalurus punctatus (channel catfish), 1483 nucleotides long. Lineage: Eukaryota; Metazoa; Chordata; Actinopteri; Siluriformes; Ictaluridae. The record is from Ensembl.